AUCCAGUCGUUAUUUAACGAUCACUCAGUUCACUCCAUUAACCAAUUCCUCGAAAAAAGUAUUGGAUAGGGGGCGCUGAAUUAUUCGAGUUAGUACAUGGAGGAAAGGUCUAUUUCAAAUGUUAUUCAAAGAUUAGAAGCGACGAUUCAAUUUCUAUUUGUGUAUUGUAUCUGUCAUGGUUGAAACGGCACCAGUAACAUAUCAGGAUAGACAACAGAAGUCUAGUGAGAAAAAUGUUAUGAAACACCAGCAAAAAAGACUAGAUUGUUAUUCAGUCCUAACUUAUACAGUGUUUCUGAAGAUGGAGAUUAGAUCAGGCCUAUCCAGAAGCAAGAAAAGGGACAAUUGUUAACACGUACAUCUACAGAGAGAGACAUGUUUUAAAAAUAGAUUUAUUUUCAAUUUAAGAAAAACCUGUUUAACUUUUACUAUUUUGUAUCUGUUUAUUUUACAUUUAUAUGUUGAUAUUUUGUUUUUUAAAAUUGCUGCACAGUAUUUCUAUUCAGUCCCACAUAACAAAAUCAGCUGAAGAAAUUGAUAUUUUCAUAUUUCAAGGGAGUGUCCUUUUGCAUUGUUGAUAGCAGAUAUAUGUAUUGUCUUAAGUUGGGUUUAAAAACAGUCAGAUCGCAACUUCAAA
Mytilus trossulus (common blue mussel) is the source of this 637-nucleotide long non-coding RNA. RefSeq lists it as uncharacterized. The transcript has 3 exons. The record is from RefSeq and is a predicted model, not a curated record. Lineage: Eukaryota; Metazoa; Mollusca; Bivalvia; Mytilida; Mytilidae.